GGGCCCGCACAAGCGGUGGAGCAUGUGGUUUAAUUCGACGCAACGCGAAGAACCUUACCAAGGCUUGACAUGGAGACGACGAAUACAGAGAUGUAUUUUCCUUUCGAGGCGUCUCACACAGGUGGUGCAUGGUUGUCGUCAGCUCGUGUCGUGAGAUGUUGGGUUAAGUCCCGCAACGAGCGCAACCCUUACUAUUAGUAGCUAUCGGAUAAAGCCGGGCACUCUAAUGGGACUGCCGUGGAUAACACGGAGGAAGGCGGGGAUGACGUCAAAUCAUCAUGCCCCUUACGUCUUGGGCUACACACGUGCUACAAUGGCUGCAACAAAGUGAAGCGAGACGGCGACGUUAAGCAAAGCACAAAAAGCAGUCCCAGUUCGGAUUGCAGUCUGCAACUCGACUGCAUGAAGUUGGAAUCGCUAGUAAUGGCAGGUCAGCAUACUG
This 442-nucleotide ribosomal RNA is filed under the name uncultured Bacillota bacterium. RNAcentral's name for it is "bacterial SSU rRNA". It matches the Rfam family "Bacterial small subunit ribosomal RNA", at positions 917 to 1359 of the family's 1533-position model. The record is from RNAcentral. Lineage: Bacteria; Bacillati; Bacillota.